RNAcentral lists this ribosomal RNA (455 nucleotides) under uncultured bacterium. RNAcentral's name for it is "bacterial SSU rRNA". It matches the Rfam family "Bacterial small subunit ribosomal RNA", at positions 340 to 786 of the family's 1533-position model. The record is from RNAcentral.
UACGGGAGGCAGCAGUGGGGAAUAUUGCACAAUGGGCGCAAGCCUGAUGCAGCCAUGCCGCGUGUAUGAAGAAGGCCUUCGGGUUGUAAAGUACUUUCAGUCGUGAGGAAGGUGUUAAGGUUAAUAACCUUAGCAAUUGACGUUAGCGACAGAAGAAGCACCGGCUAACUCCGUGCCAGCAGCCGCGGUAAUACGGAGGGUGCGAGCGUUAAUCGGAAUUACUGGGCGUAAAGGGCACGCAGGCGGUUAAUUAAGUUGGAUGUGAAAUCCCCGGGCUUAACCUGGGAAUGGCAUUCAAGACUGGUUAGCUAGAGUCUUGUAGAGGGGGUAGAAUUCCAUGUGUAGCGGUGAAAUGCGUAGAGAUGUGGAGGAAUACCGGUGGCGAAGGCGGCCCCUGGGACAAAGACUGACGCUCAUGUGCGAAAGCGUGGGGAGGCAAACAGGGAUUAGAUACC